CCCGAAACCGGGCGACCUACCCAUGAGCAGGAUGAAGCGAAAGUAAAAUUUCGUGGAGGUCCGAACCCACGAGCGUUGAAAAGCUCGGGGAUGACUUGUGGGGAGCGGUGAAAUUCCAAUCGAGCCCGGAGAUAGCUGGUUCUCCCCGAAAUAGCUUUAGGGCUAGCCUCAAGGGGAGAGAUACGGAGGUAGAGCACUGAAUGUCCUAGGGGGUAUUGCACCUACCGAAGACUAUCAAACUCCGAAUGCCGUCAUCUUAUACUUGGGAGUCAGACUGUGGGUGAUAAGAUUCAUAGUCGAAAGGGCAACAGCCCAGAUCGUCAGCUAAGGUCCCUAAAUGUAAGUUAAGUGGUAAAGGAUG
RNAcentral lists this ribosomal RNA (361 nucleotides) under Clostridioides difficile. Its description in RNAcentral is "partial 23S ribosomal RNA". It matches the Rfam family "Bacterial large subunit ribosomal RNA", at positions 714 to 1075 of the family's 2925-position model. Lineage: Bacteria; Bacillati; Bacillota; Clostridia; Peptostreptococcales; Peptostreptococcaceae. The record is from RNAcentral.